This 468-nucleotide ribosomal RNA is filed under the name uncultured bacterium. RNAcentral describes it as "partial 16S ribosomal RNA". It matches the Rfam family "Bacterial small subunit ribosomal RNA", at positions 28 to 507 of the family's 1533-position model. The record is from RNAcentral.
GACGAACGCUGGCGGCGUGCUUAACACAUGCGAGUCGAACGGAAAAGCCCUGCUUUUGUGGGGUGCUCGAGUGGCGAACGGGUGAGUAACACGUGAGUAACCUGCCCUUGACUUUGGGAUAAAUUCAGGAAACUGGGGCUAAUACCGGAUAGGAGCUCCUGCUGCAGGGAGGGGGGUGGAAAGUUUCGGCGGUUGGGGAUGGACUCGCGGCUGAUCAGCUUGUUGGUGGGGUAGUGGCUUACCAAGGCUUUGACGGGUAGCCGGCCUGAGAGGGUGACCGGCCAGAUUGGGACUGAGAUACGGCCCAGACUCCUACGGGAGGCAGCAGUGGGGAAUAUUGCACAAUGGGCGGAAGCCUGAUGCAGCAACGCCGCGUGCGGGAUGAAGGCCUUCGGGUUGUAAACCGCUUUCGCCUGGGACGAAGCGUGAGUGACGGUAAUGGGUAAAGAAGCACCGGCUAACUACGUG